AUGGCGGCAGCGGCGAACCAAGACAAGCAGCGGCGGCAGCUCAUCCUUGCUCUCUUUCUCCUCGUCUUGGCCUCCCAGAGUUGGCGCUGCUGCUCUGCAGGUUACGGUAGUGGGCAGGAAGCUGAUAGGGUGGUCUUCCUCCCCGGUCAGCCAAGGAGCCCGCAGGUCUCUCAGUUCGCCGGGCAUGUCACCGUGAACAAGCGGAAUGGGAGGGCGCUCUUCUACUGGUUCUUCCAGGCUCAGUCACAGCCCUCGCACAAGCCUCUCCUGCUCUGGCUCAAUGGAGGACCAGGCUGCUCAUCAGUUGGAUACGGAGCUGCUUCUGAGCUAGGACCUCUCACGGUGAGCAGAUUUGCAGCAGGGCUCGAGUUCAACAAGUUUGCAUGGAACAAAGAAGCCAACUUGCUCUUCGUGGAGUCUCCUGUUGGGGUUGGCUUCUCCUACACCAACACAUCCUCUGACCUCACCAACCUCAAUGAUGAUUUUGUAGCUGAGGAUACAUAUAAUUUCCUGAUUAAUUGGUUCAAGAGGUUUCCGCAGUACAAGGACCAGGAGUUCUAUAUCUCAGGAGAGAGCUAUGCAGGUCAUUAUGUGCCACAACUAGCUGACCUUGUCUAUGAGAGGAACAAAGAUAAGAAGGCCAACACAUACAUCAACUUUAAAGGGUUCAUUGUUGGCAAUCCAUUAACUGAUGAUUACUAUGACUCGAAGGGACUGGCCGAAUAUGCUUGGAGCCAUGCAGUUGUAUCAGAUGAAGUUUACGAUCGCAUAAAAAAGGAUUGUGAUUUUAGAGCCUCAAACUGGACCGAUGAUUGCAACAAAGCCAUGAACACCAUCUAUGGACAGUACCAGUUGAUCGACAUAUACAACAUUUAUGCGCCCAAGUGCAAUCUUGGACAAACAUCAGCAGCAUCCGUUGUUGAUAAAGCACUCGAAUAUAGUGACCAUGAACCUUUCAGGAGGAGAAUUAGGUUGUUCUCGGGAUAUGAUGAGUGCUACUCAUCUUAUGCUCAAGAGUACUUCAAUAAGGCAGAUGUGCAAAGGGCACUUCAUGCAAAUGUCAAUGGGAUGUUGCCUGGGAAAUGGCAAGUUUGCAGUGACUCCAUUCUGAAGUCGUACAACUUUUCGGUACUUUCCAUUCUACCAAUAUACUCCAAGCUCAUCAAAGCAGGACUGAGAGUCUGGCUCUACAGUGGAGAUGCGGAUGGCAGGGUCCCAGUGAUCGGGUCACGAUAUUGUGUGGAAGCACUUGGCUUGCCUAUCAAGUCACAGUGGCAACCAUGGUACCUGAACAAACAGGUUGCUGGAAGAUUUGUGGAGUACCAUGGUAUGACCAUGGUGACAAUAAGAGGGGCUGGCCACUUGGUACCCCUCAACAAGCCCACAGAAGGGAUAGCGCUGAUCGACACAUUCCUUCUUGGUAAACAGCUUCCUACACACCGAUGA
Molecule: ribosomal RNA, 1446 nt
Filed under: Triticum aestivum (bread wheat)
Lineage: Eukaryota; Viridiplantae; Streptophyta; Magnoliopsida; Poales; Poaceae
Description: partial small subunit ribosomal RNA
Source: RNAcentral